UACGGAGGGUGCGAGCGUUGUCCGGAGUUAUUGGGCGUAAAGCGCGCGCAGGCGGCUUGGCGCGCCCGACGUGAAAGCCCCCGGCUUAACCGGGGAGAGUCGUCGGGGACGGCCGGGCUUGAGGGCGGGAGAGGGUGGUGGAAUUCCCGGUGUAGUGGUGAAAUGCGUAGAGAUCGGGAGGAACACCUGUGGCGAAGGCGGCCACCUGGGCCGACCCUGACGCUGAGGCGCGAAGGCGUGGGGAGCGAACGGG
Molecule: ribosomal RNA, 253 nt
Filed under: uncultured bacterium
Lineage: Bacteria
Description: partial 16S ribosomal RNA
Rfam family: Bacterial small subunit ribosomal RNA
Source: RNAcentral